CAGCAGCCGCGGUAAUACAGAGGGUGCGAGCGUUAAUCGGAUUUACUGGGCGUAAAGCGUGCGUAGGCGGUUACUCAAGUCAGAGGUGAAAGCCCGGGGCUCAACCCCGGAACUGCCUUUGAAACUAGGUGACUAGAAUCUUGGAGAGGUCAGUGGAAUUCCGAGUGUAGAGGUGAAAUUCGUAGAUAUUUGGAAGAACACCAGUGGCGAAGGCGACUGACUGGACAAGUAUUGACGCUGAGGUGCGAAAGCGUGGGGAGCAAACAGGAUUAGAUACCCCUGUAGUCCCUGUCUCUUAUAC
Molecule: ribosomal RNA, 301 nt
Filed under: uncultured bacterium
Lineage: Bacteria
Description: partial 16S ribosomal RNA
Rfam family: Bacterial small subunit ribosomal RNA
Source: RNAcentral